CAGGGAAUUGUAACGCUGCGAGGAAGGAAUUGUAAGACCUCUCAUCACCCUGAACAAACUAUGCUUUCCUGAAUUCUUUGAAGGAAGGCACGGCUGUUUAAAGUACUAUGAUAUUGUUUCAAAUGUAAGGUACAGAAAGGGCCCGAGUCUGGUCCAAAACUAAAGAGCCACAGGAAAACAAAGCAAGAGGGGUCAUGCGAUGCUCAUCAACUGCAGCUGGCAAGCAGGUUGCUGCCUUCCCCAACAAGGUGAGUUGUACUUUAUUUCUAUUUUACUAGCAGCAGUUGUUUCUAAAUCUAAAUUUAUACAUAUAAAUCAGCACAUGCAAAUUUUAAACAAAUAUUUACCCUUGUCCCCCAUUUUGUUGAUACAUUUCCUCUCUCUCUCUCUCUCUCUCUCUCUCUCUCUGGGUGGACUGCUAUUGCUUUUUUCCCUUUUAUUUAUUUAGAAUUUUUUUAUAUAUUUCCCGUAACAAGAAGUUCUCAAAGCAGUUUACAUAGGAAAAGGUAGAUGAAUAGUGAAGUUGCUCACAGUCUUGUAAGGGUGUGUGUGUGUGUGUGUGUGUGUGUGUGUGUGAGAGAGAGAGAGAGAGAGAGAGAGAGAGACUUUCCCUUCCUUCACCCCCCCAUUUGAUAUUAAAAGUAGAACACCACCCACCCCAUUCUACCGCCAAAGGUCCAUUUAGAAGGCUUCUUUAGUUCGAAACCUUUCAGUGAAAUGAUUCUUAAGAUGGCUUGCACAGGUUGCAAUUGUUUAAUACAACUUCCUAGAUAAAUUGUCACCCAGGGUGUGCUUGUUUAAACCCUCUAAGAGGCAAAUGUAAAACAACUAACAAUGUGUGGAAGGGUGAAUUUCAGCUUCUCUUUCGUUCCAGUAUUCAGUACUUGACAUUUUGCGGAUAUUUUUUAAGUCCACAUGAAAAUUCACCAGCACCUCUGUGCAAAUUUCUCCUGCUAUGCAAUUUUACCUCAGAGCACAUUUUGACAAAGCACAUUUCCCCUGAUAUUUACUUUCCCUAGCAGAAUGCAUUUUUCUAUGUUAUUUCACUGCUAUGUGCAUUUUUAUGCCCACUUCAGCAGAGUAAAUACAUAUUUAUAUAAAUUACUUGCCUGGAGAACUGCAUUUGCAAAAACUGAAGAAGUGCCAAUUUUGAAGGAUGGCUGUACUUCGGUUUAUAUAUUGCUUCAGAAAGUGGAAAUUAGGUCUGUUUGCCUUUCAGUGCAAACCAAAUAAAACAUAUCUCCCAUCCCUAGCAAUAAUAUACAGAUAAAACCGGCAAAUUUUAAAAAUAUGUUAUCUCGGCUCGUAAAUAACUAAAUUAUGUAUCUGGUCAGACCUGCUGAAAUAAAAUAGUAUUUAGCAGGCAGGUAAAACAUUAUAGCAUAGUGAGGGUCCCUUCCAAAUGUUAGUUUCAACGCAUACUGUAGUUUCUCCUGCACUAAAAGAUCAGCUUCCAGUGCAUUAAAUCCACACACAACUCGGCAGGCCCUACAGCUGAUUUCAAAGGCUAGUGUAUGUUUCCCUUUGAUUCUGUAGCCCUAGGGCUACUGGCAAUUGGAGUCAAGUGUCCUUUCUGGCAAGACAAGCUGGGGAAAAAGCACCCUAUAGCUGUUCCUUCUAUAUGGCUGAUGGACAGAGUAUUCCCCUUGCUAUUACAAUGUUCUUGAGACGCAAGGAAGGCAGACUUCCAGGGACCUUUGGGUCAUCUGACUGAUGGAUGGGGCCGGAGUAUUCCCCCCCGCUUCUGCUUUGCAGUCUCAGGGCAACUGGCAGAUGGCUCCCAGUUCUGUACUUCAUUCACUUGACUUAAACGAGGUUUUAAAUCAAUUAAUGUAACCCACGGCAAUCAAAACCUUUUGGGGGCAAUGGCACAUUUGGAAUUUCGAAAAAGUUCUGUGGGCUCUAGUCAGAAAAUGGCUGCCACAGGUGUGUGGCAUAACACAAAAUGGCGGCCAUAUCUAAAAGAGCAAAAAAAAAAGGAUACAGGAUUUUGUGAAAUGGUGCAGGCAUCCCCUCUAUCGAUGGGAAAAAGUGCUUGUAUCAGCCAUUGUCACACUCAUUCACAGAGAGAAGCUCUUUGCACCUCUCCUCUCUUCAGAAAUGAGGGCAGGUGUCCAGCGAAAUAUGGGCAUAUUUAAGGGGGUAUUUUCAAUGCAGAAGAUUGCAGUAAGUGCAAACACAAAGUGAUCCGGAACAGCAAGUAUUCUCUCAUGCACUCUGUAUUUUUGAGGGGGGGCUUUCGUGGGCACCAUAGGAGGUAGCGGGUAUACUGGUGCCCAAAGGCACCACAUUGCUAAUAAUAACAAUAACAAUAACAAUAAUAAUAAAAUAAUUUUAUUUGUACCCCGCCCUCCCCGGCCGGAGCCUGGCUCAGGGCGGCUAACAUCAUAAAACUAACACAGUAUACAAAGAACAUAAGAACAUAAAAACAGGCAAUCAGUUAAAAUACAUCUUGAAAUUAGUUCAGAGCAAAUGAAAAUCUGGACAGAUGGCAGUCCAUGGGUAAAAUUGAGAGUUGUUAAUAUUCUCCAGGGCCAACUGUCACCACUGGUCUUAUUAAGGACCUGUGAGCAGGCUAGGAGGCCUCUUUAAUGCUUGUUCUUAUACAGAAAGAAAAGAAUCAGACUGAACCCCGACCAAAGGCCUGGUGGAACAGCUCCAUCUUGCAGGCCCUGUGGAAAAAUGUCAAAUCCCACAGGGCCCUGGUCUUUCGUGAGAGAGCGUUCCACCAGGCUGGGGGCCACGGCCAACACCUGAUCUAACUGAUAAAUCCAACAAAUAUUGCAGAUUUAUCAAUAACAUAUCCAUAACCACAUAGAAAUAACCUCUGAAGAGCAGGUUUCACAUUAAGCAUUGUCACGAUGUGACUUUAAGGCCAGGCUAUACAGGUGGCAUGGAGGAAGAAUGGACAUGUGCCACCAGCCUUUGAUUUAAUGAUGGGUCAUCUUGAUUUGUAUAUUACAAAUUUACUGCUGAUCCCAGAUUUCCCACCAAAAAAAUGUCAUUUUUGUUUGUAUAACCUGGCCCCUAAAUGAAGCAAUAUUUGACUUUUCUUGGAAAGGCCAGAGUCUAGCCUCACCAUCCAACCCUUUUAUUUACCAUUAUGAUAAUUCUUCAAUUCUUUAUAUUUGCCAAGGUGUCAAAUCAAUGCUACACACCUUUGGCCCAAAAAACAAAGUGCACAAAGAACUGGUUGUUCCUUAAGCAGCAGCAUCACAGGCAACACGGGCCAGCUAUUAAUAUCAUGUCAUAAAAGCAGCAUGUGAGACUUGAACUCCACAUCACAAAGUCCCUAGGGGACAAUUCCUUACCCCAUAUCUUGUACACAGAAUUGGAAUAUUUUUUUAACUGCUUUCCUGAGACGUUGAAGACUGCAAAUAUAAGAUGAGGAGAAAGAAUAGCUAGUCUGUAGCACUGCAUCAUAGCUAAGAGUAUUCUUCUAAAUUUGUAGGUGUCAGACUCCCCUAAAUUCCUAGGUCCAGUAGUUUGUGUGCAUUUAACCAAGUCUUUGAGAGUUAAACUGGAUGCCAAACUCCUAAUUCCUGGAUCCAAUUUCCUGUGUUCAGGAAAUCGCCUGGGGUGAUGGGCCAUUAGGAGAACAUAAGGAAGGCGAUGAGCCAUUAGGAAAGCCAAAGAGAGGGGGCUGUGCACCAGAUGGCAAACUGAGAGUUCGUUAGAAGAAAAAGGCAGAGUGUGAAGUAGUCUGAGAGGUGGCUGGGAUGGGACCUAGAAGGAUAAGGUUGCAGGCUGGUAAAGAUGGCAAGCUGGAAAGAAGGUCAGGAUAUGAUGGUUGAUUUCUUGUGGGAUCUAAGGCUGCAGCUGUGGGAGAAACAAAAUCCCUCCACUGAAGACUCAGGUUGUAUAUAUGUGUAAAUAAACCAUAUAUCACAAAGACACCACAGUCUCCGCUGUGGCUCAUUUCCAAAAGGAAACAUGGACCCUGGGCAAGUGCCUGGAACCCCUGGAAUCUCGUACAGCUUUGAAAUUGGGGUGGUGUGCGACGGUGAACAAAUAUACUCUAGUACUGAAGUAUCUAUGGAGUCUCUGUGAAUACUGGACUCAAAGUUGUUCCAGACACUGUCCUAUGUUUCAAGUUCAAAGCAGAAAGUGGAAUGGAAUGCUCGGUUCACUUCCAGUAUAUUUGGCCUACAGACCAACAAGUGAUGAUAUGGAAGCCUCUUGAAAGGAGGGAUUGCUGCCUGGCUGGAGCCCUGAACUGGAACAUUCCAUGCUGCAAGAUUUGUUGCAAGUCUCUCUUGUCGUGGCUAAUAGCUAUUGAUGGAAGUGACCUCCAUGGAUUUGCC
RNAcentral lists this long non-coding RNA (4304 nucleotides) under Podarcis lilfordi (Lilford's wall lizard). The record is from RNAcentral. Lineage: Eukaryota; Metazoa; Chordata; Lepidosauria; Squamata; Lacertidae.